AUUCUAUUACUCGGUGGACAAAGC
RNAcentral lists this non-coding RNA (24 nucleotides) under Arabidopsis thaliana (thale cress). Lineage: Eukaryota; Viridiplantae; Streptophyta; Magnoliopsida; Brassicales; Brassicaceae. The record is from RNAcentral.